Molecule: unclassified non-coding RNA, 694 nt
Filed under: Craterastrea levis
Lineage: Eukaryota; Metazoa; Cnidaria; Anthozoa; Scleractinia; Coscinaraeidae
Description: sequence contains ITS1, 5.8S rRNA gene and ITS2
Rfam family: 5.8S ribosomal RNA (bases 299-452)
Source: RNAcentral
ACAGAGCGCCGGAUGCCGGAAAGUUGGUCAAACUUGAUCAUUUAGAGGAAGUAAAAGUCGUAACAAGGUUUCCGUAGGUGAACCUGCGGAAGGAUCAUUACCGAUGUAAUCCAAACGCACGACUCUGUCGUGAUUACCGUGUGAACCGUACCAAACCAUUCAGGGGUCGGCCGGUCCGUUAAAUGGCGGUCGGACGCGUUUACGCGGCCGCUCCGCCAGCCCCGCCUGUGUUUUUUAACAUACGUGUCUUGUCUGAAAACGUGGCCACUGCCGUGGUCGAGAGCAAAAAGAGAGAGACAACUUUUGACGGUGGAUCUCUUGGCUCACGCAUCGAUGAAGAACGCAGCCAGCUGCGAUAAGUAGUGUGAAUUGCAGAAUUCAGUGAAUCAUCGAAUCUUUGAACGCAAAUGGCGCUCUUGGGUUCUCCCAGGAGCAUGUCUGUCUGAGUGUCGGAUAUCAUCCAUCGCACGAAAAGUGCGGCGUUGAGGCGUCACGGCCCUUCUCGCGGCCGUGUCCCUUGAAGGUCAGCGAGACUCGCCGCGGCACGGGUUCGUUCCCUGCACACUCGCGGAGGCUAAAAACGUUUUUGCCCUUCGCGUGCACGGGAGCGGCCCAACCGCCGAGUCGCGGAGGCGAACACUUCUCAAUUCUUGACCUCAGAUCAGGCAAGGCUACCCGCUGAAUUUAAGCAUAU